This 30-nucleotide small RNA is filed under the name Bombyx mori (domestic silkworm). RNAcentral's name for it is "ovarian small RNA-5861". The record is from RNAcentral. Lineage: Eukaryota; Metazoa; Arthropoda; Insecta; Lepidoptera; Bombycidae.
UAAUGGGGGGUAACGCGUCCGAGGGCGGCU